Podospora anserina is the source of this 113-nucleotide transfer RNA. It matches the Rfam family "tRNA". From Rfam's summary of the family: Transfer RNA (tRNA) molecules are approximately 80 nucleotides in length. The record is from Rfam. NCBI's taxonomy places the organism in Eukaryota, Fungi, Ascomycota, Sordariomycetes, Sordariales, Podosporaceae.
GGGCGUGUGGCUCAGUUGGUAGAGCGUUCGCUUAGCAUACUCAAGUCCCUUGACUAAAUAUCAGGGAUCCCAUUGUAUGCGAAAGGUCCUGGGUUCGAUUCCCAGCUCGUCCA